RNAcentral lists this ribosomal RNA (301 nucleotides) under uncultured bacterium. RNAcentral's name for it is "partial 16S ribosomal RNA". It matches the Rfam family "Bacterial small subunit ribosomal RNA", at positions 509 to 807 of the family's 1533-position model. The record is from RNAcentral.
CAGUCGCCACGGGAAUACGAAGGGGGCUAGCGUUGUUCGGAAUUACUGGGCGUAAAGCGCACGUAGGCGGACAUUUAAGUCAGGGGUGAAAUCCCGGGGCUCAACCCCGGAACUGCCUUUGAUACUGGGUGUCUAGAGUAUGGAAGAGGUGAGUGGAAUUCCGAGUGUAGAGGUGAAAUUCGUAGAUAUUCGGAGGAACACCAGUGGCGAAGGCGGCUCACUGGUCCAUUACUGACGCUGAGGUGCGAAAGCGUGGGGAGCAAACAGGAUUAGAUACCCCAGUAGUCCCUGUCUCUUAUAC